ACGGGUGAGUAACACGUGGGAACGUGCCCUUCGGUUCGGAAUAACUCAGGGAAACUUGAGCUAAUACCGGAUGCGCCCUUAUGGGGAAAGGUUUACUGCCGAAGGAUCGGCCCGCGUCUGAUUAGCUUGUUGGUGGGGUAACGGCCUACCAAGGCGACGAUCAGUAGCUGGUCUGAGAGGAUGAUCAGCCACACUGGGACUGAGACACGGCCCAGACUCCUACGGGAGGCAGCAGUGGGGAAUAUUGGACAAUGGGCGCAAGCCUGAUCCAGCCAUGCCGCGUGAGUGAUGAAGGCCUAGGGUUGUAAAGCUCUUUUGUCCGGGACGAUAAUGACGGUACCGGAAGAAUAAGCCCCGGCUAACUUCGUGCCAGCAGCCGCGGUAAUACGAAGGGGGCUAGCGUUGCUCGGAAUCACUGGGCGUAAAGGGCGCGUAGGCGGCCGAUUAAGUCGGGGGUGAAAGCCUGUGGCUCAACCACAGAAUUGCCUUCGAUACUGGUUGGCUUGAGACCGGAAGAGGACAGCGGAACUGCGAGUGUAGAGGUGAAAUUCGUAGA
RNAcentral lists this ribosomal RNA (556 nucleotides) under uncultured Methylobacterium sp. Its description in RNAcentral is "bacterial SSU rRNA". It matches the Rfam family "Bacterial small subunit ribosomal RNA", at positions 102 to 694 of the family's 1533-position model. Lineage: Bacteria; Pseudomonadati; Pseudomonadota; Alphaproteobacteria; Hyphomicrobiales; Methylobacteriaceae. The record is from RNAcentral.